RNAcentral lists this ribosomal RNA (253 nucleotides) under uncultured bacterium. Its description in RNAcentral is "partial 16S ribosomal RNA". It matches the Rfam family "Bacterial small subunit ribosomal RNA", at positions 524 to 776 of the family's 1533-position model. The record is from RNAcentral.
UACGUAGGUGGCAAGCGUUGUCCGGAUUUACUGGGCGUAAAGCGUGCGCAGGCGGUUCGUUAUGUCCGAUGUGAAAGCCCCGAGCCCAACUUGGGAAUGGCAUUGGAAACUGGCGGGCUGGAGUGUGGCAGAGGGGGGUGGAAUUCCACGUGUAGCAGUGAAAUGCGUAGAGAUGUGGAGGAACACCGAUGGCGAAGGCAGCCCCCUGGGCCAACACUGACGCUCAGGCACGAAAGCGUGGGGAGCAAACAGG